This 497-nucleotide ribosomal RNA is filed under the name uncultured bacterium. Its description in RNAcentral is "partial 16S ribosomal RNA". It matches the Rfam family "Bacterial small subunit ribosomal RNA", at positions 28 to 507 of the family's 1533-position model. The record is from RNAcentral.
GAUGAACGCUGGCGGCGUGCCUAAUACAUGCAAGUCGAGCGAACGGACGAGAAGCUUGCUUCUCUGAUGUUAGCGGCGGACGGGUGAGUAACACGUGGAUAACCUACCUAUAAGACUGGGAUAACUUCGGGAAACCGGAGCUAAUACCGGAUAAUAUUUUGAACCGCAUGGUUCAAAAGUGAAAGACGGUCUUGCUGUCACUUAUAGAUGGAUCUGCGCUGCAUUAGCUAGUUGGUAAGGUAACGGCUUACCAAGGCAACGAUGCAUAGCCGACCUGAGAGGGUGAUCGGCCACACUGGAACUGAGACACGGUCCAGACUCCUACGGGAGGCAGCAGUAGGGAAUCUUCCGCAAUGGGCGAAAGCCUGACGGAGCAACGCCGCGUGAGUGAUGGAGGUCUUCGGAUCGUAAAACUCUGUUAUUAGGGAAGAACAUAUGUGUAAGUAACUGUGCACAUCUUGACGGUACCUAAUCAGAAAGCCACGGCUAACUACGUG